CGGGAGGCCCGGGGAUGAGGGAAGCCGAGAACCGGAAGUGAAGGCAGAUUCCCUCUUUCGUCGCUGUUGCCGCCGCCAUAUGCGCUCGCCUUGCUCAGCUCUUCUAUCACAAACUAGGGUUUUUUUUUUUUUUUUUUUUUUUUUUAAACUGUUGCUCAAGCCCCCACUUUCCUUCCUUGUUUUCACUUACUCUGCGUGAAUCCAUCCAGAGACCCCUCCCCUUCUCCCCCUGCCGGCCCAGUUAUGGCAGAGAACGAUGUGGACAAUGAGCUCUUGGACUAUGAAGAAGAUGAGGUGGAGACAGCAGCUGGGGGAGAUGGGGCUGAGGCCCCUGCCAAGAAGGAUGUGAAGGGCUCCUAUGUCUCCAUCCACAGCUCUGGCUUUCGUGACUUCCUGCUGAAGCCAGAGUUGCUCCGGGCCAUUGUCGACUGUGGCUUUGAGCAUCCAUCAGAAGUCCAGCAUGAGUGCAUCCCUCAGGCCAUUCUGGGAAUGGAUGUCCUGUGCCAGGCCAAGUCAGGCAUGGGGAAGACAGCGGUGUUUGUGCUGGCCACACUGCAGCAGCUGGAGCCAGUUACUGGACAGGUGUCUGUGCUGGUGAUGUGUCACACUCGGGAGUUGGCAUUUCAGAUCAGCAAGGAGUAUGAGCGCUUCUCUAAAUACAUGCCCAAUGUCAAGGUCGCGGUGUUUUUUGGUGGUCUGUCUAUCAAGAAGGAUGAAGAGGUGCUGAAGAAGAACUGCCCGCAUAUUGUUGUGGGGACCCCUGGCCGCAUCCUCGCCCUGGCUCGAAAUAAGAGCCUCAAUCUCAAACACAUUAAACACUUUAUCUUGGAUGAAUGUGAUAAGAUGCUUGAACAGCUCGACAUGCGUCGGGAUGUCCAGGAAAUUUUUCGCAUGACCCCCCAUGAGAAGCAGGUCAUGAUGUUCAGUGCUACCUUGAGCAAAGAGAUCCGUCCUGUCUGCCGCAAGUUCAUGCAAGACCCAAUGGAGAUCUUCGUGGAUGAUGAGACGAAGCUGACGCUGCAUGGGUUGCAGCAGUACUACGUGAAACUGAAGGACAACGAGAAGAACCGGAAGCUCUUUGACCUUCUCGAUGUCCUUGAGUUCAAUCAGGUGGUGAUCUUUGUGAAGUCUGUGCAGCGUUGCAUUGCCCUGGCCCAGCUUCUAGUGGAGCAGAACUUCCCAGCCAUUGCCAUCCACCGAGGGAUGCCCCAGGAGGAGAGGCUUUCUCGGUAUCAGCAGUUUAAAGAUUUUCAACGACGAAUUCUUGUGGCUACCAACCUAUUUGGCCGAGGCAUGGAUAUUGAGCGGGUGAACAUUGCCUUCAAUUAUGACAUGCCUGAGGAUUCUGACACCUACCUGCAUAGGGUAAGCUCCACUCCCAUGUGGGCAUCCCAGUGUCCCAUCUUGCUCCCUGAUUUUCUGUCUUCAUACCUAAUUGUCUCACCCGUCCUUUUGCGAAUCUUCCUACUUGGGAGUCGUCCCAGUGCUACCCUCUGUCUCCUUCCAGGUGGCCCGAGCAGGUCGGUUUGGCACUAAGGGCUUGGCCAUCACGUUUGUGUCAGAUGAAAAUGAUGCCAAGAUCCUCAAUGAUGUGCAGGAUCGAUUUGAAGUCAAUAUUAGUGAGCUGCCCGAUGAGAUAGACAUUUCCUCUUACAUUGAACAGACGCGGUAGAGGACUCACCAACCUAUUUGGAAUGUGACAGUCUGUCCCUGUUCAGGAGAUGACAGCGGGCAUGGGGUGAAGGAGACACUACUGCCACCUACCCCUGAUAACCCCCACCCCCACCCCAUGGCUUCCCCCUUUUGCAUCACCACCACUCCUAAACCCCUGUUUCCGGAAUUGUCUGAAUUUUUUUUAACAAAACUAAAAAACACAUGCGUCUGUGGUGUCUGUAA
Molecule: RNA transcript, 1896 nt
Organism: Enhydra lutris kenyoni (northern sea otter)
Lineage: Eukaryota; Metazoa; Chordata; Mammalia; Carnivora; Mustelidae
Gene name: DExD-box helicase 39B
Exons: 10
Source: RefSeq, a predicted model, not a curated record